ACUUGCUGGUUGACUUAUUUUCCCAGCAACCAAAUUUCCAUCUGCAUCUCUUUCCUCUUUUCACUGAGAAUCUGAGAAUUUGGUUUUCAUUUCUCCAAGGGUUUGGCUUACUAAAAUGAAUCAGCCAGCUGUUUUAACUGAAAUUGCAGACAUCCUUGAAGAAACAUGUCGUGCACAUAAUUUACCUAUAGCUCUAACAUGGGUUUCUUCAUAUCCCCUUAUAAACAACAAAAGAACCUUAAACAUUGUGAAUAGUGCUUGUUAUGUGAAUGAUUUAGGGAUGCAAGGGUUUCUCAAGGCGUGUAUAGGGCAUCAUCUCGAAGAAGGUCAAGGUGUUGCUGGAAAAGCACUUAAAUCGACGCAUCAUUACUCUGUCUCCAAUGUUUGUUGCUUGACGUAGCUGAUUAUCCGUUUGUGGAUGAUGCUAGGAGUUCUGGGCUUCGUUCUGCUUUAGCUAUAAUGUUAAUGAUAAGGGAGGGGUUUUAUAGAAGUAAUGUUGAUUAUGUGGUGGAGUUUUUUCUUCCUGCGAAUCUGGAAGAUUUGGAAGAGAAGACAUUGAUGGAUGGGAUUUCAGCUAGUUUGAGGAAAGGUUGUGAGAAUUCCAAGACUGUUAUAGCACCUGGGUAUAGUGUCCAGCCAUUGCAUUUGUUUGGCAGUUUGAAUUUGAAUCAAAUGAGUCUGGAGAGGAACCAUGAGGAUUCAAGUGAAGUUUCGUUUUCCGAUUGGAAUAACAUUCAGCCUGUUGCUGUUUCUGGGAGCUCUUUGCGGCAUUGUGAGCAGGUGUGCUUCUUUUAAUUGUGGAAUUGUUGUUUCGUAUUCUUUCUUGUUGAUGAAUGGAUUGUUCUGUUGAUGAACAAAUUGAGACUUUUAUUUGGAUCUUGGGGCUUACUUUUUCUUUGAAUAUAUUUCUGCAUACCAAUUGA
Molecule: long non-coding RNA, 923 nt
Organism: Populus nigra (black poplar)
Lineage: Eukaryota; Viridiplantae; Streptophyta; Magnoliopsida; Malpighiales; Salicaceae
Exons: 2
Source: RefSeq, a predicted model, not a curated record